UAGGGAAUCUUCCACAAUGGACGCAAGUCUGAUGGAGCAACGCCGCGUGAGUGAAGAAGGUUUUCGGACCGUAAAGCUCUGUUGUUGGUGAAGAAGGAUAGAGGUAGUAACUGGCCUUUAUUUGACGGUAAUCAACCAGAAAGUCACGGCUAACUACGUGCCAGCAGCCGCGGUAAUACGUAGGUGGCAAGCGUUGUCCGGAUUUAUUGGGCGUAAAGCGAGCGCAGGCGGAAGAAUAAGUCUGAUGUGAAAGCCCUUGGCUUAACCGAGGAAUUGCAUCGGAAACUGUUUUCUUGAGUGCAGAAGAGGAGAGUAGAACUCCAUGUGUAGCGGUGGAAUGCGUAGAUAUAUGGAAGAAUACCAGUGGCGAAGGCGGCUCUCUGGUCUGCAACUGACGCUGAGGCUCGAAAGCAUGGGUAGCGAACAGGAUUAGAUACCCUGGUAGUCCAUGCCGUAAACGAUGAGUGCUAAGUGUUGGGAGGCUUCCGCCUCUCAGUGCUGCAGCUAACGCAUUAAGCACUCCGCCUGGGGGAGUACGACCGCAAGGUUGAAAC
This 554-nucleotide ribosomal RNA is filed under the name uncultured bacterium. Its description in RNAcentral is "partial 16S ribosomal RNA". It matches the Rfam family "Bacterial small subunit ribosomal RNA", at positions 355 to 900 of the family's 1533-position model. The record is from RNAcentral.